RNAcentral lists this ribosomal RNA (253 nucleotides) under uncultured microorganism. RNAcentral's name for it is "partial 16S ribosomal RNA". It matches the Rfam family "Bacterial small subunit ribosomal RNA", at positions 524 to 776 of the family's 1533-position model. The record is from RNAcentral.
UACGGAGGGUGCAAGCGUUGUCCGGAAUCACUGGGCGUAAAGCGCGCGUAGGCGGGUUUGAAAGUCGGGCGUAAAAGUCCACAACUCAAUUGUGGAAGGCCGCCCGAUACUUCAAACCUUGAGGAUGGGAGAGGAGAGCGGAAUUCCCGGUGUAGCGGUGAAAUGCUUUGAGAUCGGGAGGAACGCCAGUGGCGAAGGCGGCUCUCUGGAACAUUCCUGACGCUGAGGCGCGAAAGCGUGGGGAGCGAACCGG